RNAcentral lists this ribosomal RNA (474 nucleotides) under uncultured Latescibacterota bacterium. Its description in RNAcentral is "bacterial SSU rRNA". It matches the Rfam family "Bacterial small subunit ribosomal RNA", at positions 918 to 1380 of the family's 1533-position model. The record is from RNAcentral. Lineage: Bacteria; Pseudomonadati; Candidatus Latescibacterota.
UGACGGGCCGCACAAGCGGUGGAGCAUGUGUUAAUUCGAUGAUACGCGAAGAACCGUUACCGGGGUUUGACAUGCAGGUGAUCCGCCGUUGAAAGUACCGGUUUCCUCUUCGGAGGCACCUGCACGAGGUGCUGCAUGGCUGUCGUCAGCUCGUGUCGUGGGAUGUUGGGUUAAGUCCCGCAACGAGCGCAACCCUUAUCCCCAGUUGCCAUCAGGUAAAGCUGGGAACUCUGGGGAGACUGCCGGUGAUAAACCGGAGGAAGGCGGGGAUGACGUCAAGUCCUCAUGGCCCUUACAUCCCGGGCUACACACGUGCUACAAUGGCAGGUACAGAGGGCUGCGAAGCCGCGAGGUGGAGCGAAUCCCAGAAAACCUGUCUCAGUCCGGAUUGAAAGUCUGCAACUCGACUUCAUGAAGGCGGAAUCGCUAGUAACCGCGAAUCAGCAGGUCGCGGUGAAUACGUUCCCGGGCCUU